Cygnus olor (mute swan) is the source of this 1242-nucleotide long non-coding RNA. RefSeq lists it as uncharacterized. The record is from RefSeq and is a predicted model, not a curated record. The transcript has 3 exons. NCBI's taxonomy places the organism in Eukaryota, Metazoa, Chordata, Aves, Anseriformes, Anatidae.
GCACUCAAAAGUCCUCCUUGUCAGAAAAAAAAAAAAAAAACAAAGAGUGAGGGAGAUUACAAGGACCUGUUUUUUUCCACCUCCACCGCCACCGCCACCUCCUCCUCCUCUACUACCUCCUCCUCCUCCUCUUCCUUGGCAGAAACUUGCUGGCCAAAUGGCUCUGCGUGCCCCUGGCUAGGGCAUGGUGGUAGCAAUGAUGGUGAGCCCAGCGAUGUCAGGAGCAGUUGCCAGGGACCAGGUGUGCAAAGGUGGCUUCUCUGGGGAGGUCUGGUGGUGAGCGCUGCUCACCGCUCAUAGUUCUAGUUCCAUUGGACACCCAAGAGGAGCAUGUCUCCGUGGCCCUGUAAGGCAGCAGCUGGCGGGUCCCAGCGUCUUCGUGACCCUGUGUGAUGCGUUGCCUGUCCCCUGAUUGGCUGGCUAGCGAUUGUUAGCUGUUUUGCAAGUGUCUUGUCAUCAAUAGAUGGUGUGUCUUCUCCUCCCUAUAUAAGGGCCAAAGGGUGGCAGUGGGAGGCAGAGUGUUGGAGACGGGAGACGGCAGAUGGUAUUGCAACUGGCAGUGUCAGAAUAGGAGAAGGUAGCGGUGGUGGAGGAGGAGGAGGUGGAGGUGGAGGAGGCCGUGGAGGUGGAGGAGGCUCUGGCGGAGGAAGAGGCUGUGGACGAGGAGGAAGAGGCAGCCUACAAGUAAGAUUAGGCGGUGGUGGAGGACGUUGUGGACGAGGAGGAGGAGGCGGUGGAGGACGAGGAGGAGGUGGUGGAGGACUAGGAGGUGGAGGAAUCAUAGGAUCAUUAGUGUUGGAGGAGACCUUCAAGUUUGUGCUGCAAGUGAAGCCACAGAAAUUUUCAAAUCCUUCUGCUGCCCCUCAGGGCAUUGCCUCAGUGCAGCUUCAGUCUUGGAGACAGCAUUUGUAAUUGAGGCAGGGGUUGGCAGGAGCAUCCUGUGUGAGGGACCUAAGACCCCAGCAAGGCUGUUGGGGCAUCAAUUGCCAAUUCCUUUUCACUGAAGAUGAGCAUGGAAAAGUGGUGUUUUAGAAAGGAUGCUGACAAACAUGGGAAGUUGAGGAAUUUCCACACUCAAGUCUACAGCCACAAUUCUCCUUCUGUCACCAGCAUUGCACACCGGUGUCUGCUGUGUUCUCACCUCUGCACUUGAACAGCAGAUACCCUCACUCCUUUCAGUGCGGACAGGGAGGAUUGUAAAGACCUAACGGCAUAACAUUGCACUCAAAAGUCCUCCUUGUC